Molecule: ribosomal RNA, 589 nt
Filed under: uncultured bacterium
Lineage: Bacteria
Description: partial 16S ribosomal RNA
Rfam family: Bacterial small subunit ribosomal RNA
Source: RNAcentral
UGGGGAAUAUUGGGCAAUGGGCGCAAGCCUGAUCCAGCAAUGCCGCGUGUGUGAAGAAGGCCUUCGGGUUGUAAAGCACUUUUAUCAGGAGCGAAACGCUGUCGGCUAAUACCCGGCGGAACUGACGGUACCUGAGGAAUAAGCACCGGCUAACUUCGUGCCAGCAGCCGCGGUAAUACGAAGGGUGCAAGCGUUAAUCGGAAUUACUGGGCGUAAAGCGUGCGUAGGCGGUUUCUUAAGUCUGCUGUGAAAUCCCCGGGCUCAACCUGGGAAUGGCAGUGGAUACUGGGAGGCUAGAGUGUGUCAGAGGGUGGUGGAAUUCCCGGUGUAGCGGUGAAAUGCGUAGAGAUCGGGAGGAACAUCAGUGGCGAAGGCGGCCACCUGGGACAACACUGACGCUGAGGCACGAAAGCGUGGGGAGCAAACAGGAUUAGAUACCCUGGUAGUCCACGCCCUAAAACGAUGCGAACUGGAUGUUGGUCUCAACUCGGAGAUCAGUGUCGAAGCUAACGCGUUAAGUUCGCCGCCUGGGGAGUACGGUCGCAAGACUGAAACUCAAAGGAAUUGACGGGGUCAUAGCUGUUUCCUG